UACGGAGGGUGCGAGCGUUGCUCGGAAUUAUUGGGCGUAAAGGGUAGGUAGGUGGUCUCAUUUGUCGGGGGUGAAAGCCUUGGGCUUAACCCAAGAAGUGCCUUCGAAACGGUGAGACUGGAGUCCUGGAGAGGGUCGUGGAAUUCCCGGUGUAGCGGUGAAAUGCGUAGAGAUCGGGAGGAACACCAGAGGCGAAGGCGGCGACCUGGACAGGUACUGACACUCAACUACGAAAGCGUGGGGAGCAAACAGG
RNAcentral lists this ribosomal RNA (253 nucleotides) under uncultured bacterium. Its description in RNAcentral is "partial 16S ribosomal RNA". It matches the Rfam family "Bacterial small subunit ribosomal RNA", at positions 524 to 776 of the family's 1533-position model. The record is from RNAcentral.